UUUAGUAAUUAGCUGUUGAUAUAAACCUCAUUGCUUAACAUACAGCAAGGCCUCCUUCCUUUAAAAAAAAUACAGUAAGACUGAAAAUUAUGUAACUAAUUCGUAUCAGAAAAGUUGCAAAUAGUUACAUGCAUUUGCCAGUGAACUGCAUAGAACUAUUUGAAUGCAUUCAUUUCUUUUUCCCAUUUUCCCUAUAUAUUAUGAGCGAUGAAAAUUUAUAUCAACAGCUAAUUACUAAAUAUGUAGCCAUGAGGAGUUCCCUGAGAAUCAACAAUGAACCAUCCCUAAAGGGUUGCCAUUAAUGGACUCACCUAGACUGGAAAGGACCAGCAUUCACUGGCUUCUGGAAGACUCUCAUCACUGGCAUUCCAUCUCCAUCAUUGUUUCCAAUCCUCCAAGACCGAUCCUUUUUCCUCUGAGGCUUUUUAUGGUGCUUAUGUGAUGCAUUUGGCUUCUUGACAGUAGCCUUCUCGGAUGCAAGUCCAUUGGAAAUGUCAAAUGAAUUUAGAUCAUCAAGUACAUGUUCAAUAAUAGGCGCAUUUUCACUUUCAAUAUCUGGAGUGUUUUCGAUGUCAGAUGAAUCUGUGUCGUGCAUCUCGGACAAGCUAGGUUCUUCAUUAUUUUCAUUGUUUGCUUUCUCUUCAGACAUUCCAGGUGGCAUCUCAAAGUGAGGUAGCUUGCCAUCUAAGUAAUCCUUCAAAAUUUGACGUGCAGCUCUAGUUUCAUCAGGCAGUCCACUAGAUGCAACAUACCCACGAGAUGCACAAUAAGCCCUUAAAAAUUCUGAUGCCAAAGGAGGCCGAGAUUGAGGCUCAUAUGGCUUAGGCUUUGGCAAAUUUAUCUUGUACACAUCCUCGAUGACAUGCCUUGGGACUUUAUUAGCCACAACCUGCACAGCCUCCCUGUGCUCGGUCAUUCGAUCAAUUGGUAACACCCCUGAAGCAAUCAUCUCGUAUCUUGAGCUUGAGAAGGAAGGGAACACUAAUCCAGGGCAGUCACACAAGGUCAACUCCUCAGAUAUUUUCAGUGUUUGGAAAUGCUUAGUCUUCCCUGGUGUAGAGGUCACUCCAGUGCGCUUCUGGCCUACCAAAGCAUUGAUUGUGGAGCUUUUGCCCACAUUAGGAUAUCCAACGAAUCCUACCACCACAUUCUUAGGAGCUGAACUUCCAACAUCAUUUCCUUCCAGAGACUGAUCACUCGAUGGGCUGGUGGUACUGGAGCUUGAUUUCCUACUCAUCUUGACUAUCUCUUGCGCCUCUAGCUGUAAACGAGAUAAAACUUCAUCCCUGUCAUAUAUUUUUGUAUGAGGGUCAUCCAUCUCUUCAAGGGUAGCUUGUCCCUUCCAUGGUUCUUUGAGCUUUUUCCCCUCAAGAGCUGCAGAAGCAGCCUUAGCCGACCAGAACAUAAAUAGUAUAUCACAAUGGCAAAAAUAUUCUGCCCAUUUCUGCCUGACUGAAUAGGGUAAA
Molecule: unclassified non-coding RNA, 1466 nt
Filed under: Hevea brasiliensis (rubber tree)
Lineage: Eukaryota; Viridiplantae; Streptophyta; Magnoliopsida; Malpighiales; Euphorbiaceae
Source: RNAcentral